This 85-nucleotide small RNA is filed under the name Escherichia coli. Its description in RNAcentral is "partial RtT sRNA". It matches the Rfam family "RtT RNA", at positions 48 to 130 of the family's 130-position model. From Rfam's summary of the family: This family represents a bacterial cis-regulatory element known as RtT RNA. The exact function of RtT is unknown although it is thought that it may be involved in changing the cellular response in relation to amino acid starvation. The record is from RNAcentral. Lineage: Bacteria; Pseudomonadati; Pseudomonadota; Gammaproteobacteria; Enterobacterales; Enterobacteriaceae.
UUGAGCGCCAGCGAGAGAGCGUUGCCGCAGGCAACGACCCGAAGGGCGAAGCGCGCAGCGCUGAGUAAUCCUUCUCCCACCACCA